GACAAGGUGGCCGAGUGGUUAAGGCGCCAGACUAAGGAACGUGGAUUUCUGUGUAAUUCUGGGCCAAGGCAGAUUCUGCCCAUUCAUCCAUCUGGUCCGAAAGGACGUGGGUUCGAGUCCCAUCCUUGUCA
This is a non-coding RNA of Armillaria fumosa, 131 nucleotides long. Lineage: Eukaryota; Fungi; Basidiomycota; Agaricomycetes; Agaricales; Physalacriaceae. The record is from the annotation of a GenBank genome assembly.